GAUGAACGCUAGCGGCAGGCCUAACACAUGCAAGUCGAGGGGUAGCAGGAUUAAGCUUGCUUAAUUGCUGACGACCGGCGCACGGGUGCGUAACGCGUAUGCAACCUACCUUAUACUGGGGUAUAGCCCGGAGAAAUUCGGAUUAAUCCCCCAUAGUACUAGUGAAUCGCAUGGUUUAUUAGUUAAAGCAUUGCGGUAUAAGAUGGGCAUGCGUCCUAUUAGCUAGAUGGUGAGGUAACGGCUCACCAUGGCGACGAUAGGUAGGGGGCCUGAGAGGGUGGUCCCCCACACUGGUACUGAGACACGGACCAGACUCCUACGGGAGGCAGCAGUGAGGAAUAUUGGUCAAUGGGCGCAAGCCUGAACCAGCCAUGCCGCGUGCAGGAAGAAUGCCCUAUGGGUUGUAAACUGCUUUUAUUUGGGAAUAAACCUCUUUACGUGUAGAGAGCUGAAGGUACCAAAUGAAUAAGCACCGGCUAACUCCGUGCCAGCCGCCGCGGUAA
This 503-nucleotide ribosomal RNA is filed under the name uncultured bacterium. RNAcentral's name for it is "partial 16S ribosomal RNA". It matches the Rfam family "Bacterial small subunit ribosomal RNA", at positions 28 to 523 of the family's 1533-position model. The record is from RNAcentral.